RNAcentral lists this long non-coding RNA (219 nucleotides) under Mytilus galloprovincialis (Mediterranean mussel). Lineage: Eukaryota; Metazoa; Mollusca; Bivalvia; Mytilida; Mytilidae. The record is from RNAcentral.
GCGGGUAUAUAGAUUUAUAAAAAAAAGUGCACACAUGGUCAGUUUUGGUCAACACGGUCAAAUAAUUUUGUUGCACAAGUCAGCAAGAGGUAUCAAAACUACUGAAAUUUUGUUUUGUAUCAAUAUUUUGAAUAAAAGGAGGACAUAUGCUGGCACCCUAAAUUGAUGCAAACAAAAAAUUGUUGUUAUUGUAUAGCAAUAUUGCUGUCCAUUGUAAUA